CUGGAAUAUAAACAUCUAUGUACAGGAUGGUGUGUAUAGACAGUAUAGUUAUAUAGGAUGGUGUGUAUAGACAGUAGUUAUAAUAGGAUGGUGUGUAUAGACAGUAGUUAUAAUAGGAUGGUGUGUAUAGACAGUAGUUAUAAUAGGAUGGUGUGUAUAGACAGUAGUUAUAAUAGGAUGGUGUGUAUAGACAGUAGUUAUAUAGGAUGGUGUGUAUAGACAGUAGUUAUAAUAGGAUGGUGUGUAUAGACAGUAGUUAUAAUAGGAUGGUGUGCAUAGACAGUAGUUAUAUAGGAUGGUGUGCAUAGGCAGUAGUUAUAAUAGGAUGGUGUGUAUAGACAGUAGUUAUAUAGGAUGGUGUGUAUAGACAGUAGUUAUAUAGGAUGGUGUGCAUAGACAGUAGUUAUAUAGGAUGGUGUGUAUAGACAGUAUAGACAGUAGUUAUAUAGGAUGGUGUGUAUAGACAGUAUAGACAGUAGUUAUAUAUAGGAUGGUGUGUAUAGACAGUAGUUAUAUAUAGGAUGGUGUGUAUAGACAGUAGUUAUAUAUAGGAUGGUGUGUAUAGACAGUAGUUAUAAUAGGAUGGUGUGUAUAGACAGUAUAUGAAUUAGAAAGUGUGUACAGCAGUAGUUAUAUAGAAUGAACCAUGACUAGAAUACAGUAUAUAGACAUGAAGUAGGUAAAACAGUAUGUAACCGUUAUUAAAGUGGUUCCAUGACUCUGUACCGUACAUAAGGCAGGAGUCUCUGAGGUGCAGUUGAACCCUGUGGCUGCGUUCCGAUGUUCCACCCUUCUCCAGAACUCAAAACCAUUGGAUCGGUACAAGUAUGACUGGAGGGGAGUUCCCAUUUCCAUCAUAUUUCUGACACCAGUCCAAUAAUUUUAAAUCCAUAAAGGGAAGUGUACAAGUGCACACCUCAGGGAGAAGGGUAGAGAAUUGGAAUGUGGUAACCUUUGACCUCCAUAAAUGAUAUUUGUGAGGUUAGAGGGCUGAUUGAGCGUUCGUUGCUCUUUACUACUGGUAAAAAAAAAGUUGAAGC
Long non-coding RNA from Oncorhynchus tshawytscha (Chinook salmon), 1040 nucleotides. NCBI's taxonomy places the organism in Eukaryota, Metazoa, Chordata, Actinopteri, Salmoniformes, Salmonidae. The record is from Ensembl.